UCCCAAAAUUGGGAGUCUGGUCGAUCAAGGAACAAGCAGGGGGCGACAUCCCCCAUUUCCAAACCCUAACUCAAGCAAAUCUCUAAAUUGAAGCCUCAAAUCAGCCCUAAAUCAAGUCUUGAACACGAAUUAGUGAUCCCCUUGUAGUGAGGAUCACAAAGGCAAAGAGUCCGGUUCAUCUAGCGGACAAGCCGGAGGGAAUUCACGAGGAAAAGACGCGCUCUAAAGUUUUCAGGUACUCAAGUGAAGGAUGAUGAUCAAGCAUAACUAUCCGAACCGAACACUCUAGCAAACGCUUCCGCAUAUGAUCUUUUGUUCUAAAAACUAUGUAAACUAUUGUAGUUAAUAUCUUGAUUAUGAUUUCGUAAGAACUAUACAUGUAUGUUGUGUUUAGUUUUGGGUUAAAAUGAUGAAAGUUUUUGUUAAGUCGUCAUUUUGGCGUUAAA
Helianthus annuus (common sunflower) is the source of this 446-nucleotide long non-coding RNA. RefSeq lists it as uncharacterized. The transcript is spliced from 3 exons. The record is from RefSeq and is a predicted model, not a curated record. NCBI's taxonomy places the organism in Eukaryota, Viridiplantae, Streptophyta, Magnoliopsida, Asterales, Asteraceae.